This 942-nucleotide ribosomal RNA is filed under the name Chaetothyriales sp. M-Cre1-4. Its description in RNAcentral is "eukaryotic LSU rRNA". It matches the Rfam family "Eukaryotic large subunit ribosomal RNA", at positions 1 to 961 of the family's 3401-position model. The record is from RNAcentral. Lineage: Eukaryota; Fungi; Ascomycota; Eurotiomycetes; Chaetothyriales.
UUGACCUCGGAUCAGGUAGGAAUACCCGCUGAACUUAAGCAUAUCAAUAAGCGGAGGAAAAGAAACCAACAGGGAUUGCCUCAGUAACGGCGAGUGAAGCGGCAACAGCUCAAAUUUGAAAUCUGGCCUCACGGCCCGAGUUGUAAUUUGUAGAGGAUGUUUUGGGCACCGCGGCGGUGUAAAUUUCUUGGAACAGAAUGUCAGAGAGGGUGAGAAUCCCGUCUUGGACCGCCGUAGGACCCGUGUAAAACUCCUUCGACGAGUCGACUUGUUUGGGAAUGCAGGUCAAAAUGGGUGGUAAAUUUCAUCUAAAGCUAAAUAUUGGCCAGAGACCGAUAGCGCACAAGUAGAGUGAUCGAAAGAUGAAAAGCACUUUGAAAAGAGAGUUAAACAGUAUGUGAAAUUGUUGAAAGGGAAGCGCUGGCAACCAGACUCGCGCGCGGGGUUCCCCCUUCCGUCAGGCUGGGUCACUUCCCCGCGUCCGGGCCAUCAUCAGUUUUGGGGGCCGGUCAAAGGCCCCGGGAAUGUAUCCACCCCUCCGGGGGUGGACUUAUAGCCCGGGGCGUCAUGCGGCCUCCCGGGACUGAGGAACGCGCUUCGGCGAGGAUGAUGGCGUAAUGGUUGUCAGCGGCCCGUCUUGAAACACGGACCAAGGAGUCUAACAUCUAUGCGAGUGUUCGGGUGUCAAACCCCUGCGCGGAAUGAAAGUGAACGGAGGUAGGAAGGCCUGAGCCUGCACUAUCGACCGAUCCUGAUGUCUUCGGAUGGAUUUGAGUAAGAGCAUAGCUGUUGGGACCCGAAAGAUGGUGAACUAUACGUGAAUAGGGUGAAGCCAGAGGAAACUCUGGUGGAGGCUCGCAGCGGUUCUGACGUGCAAAUCGAUCGUCAUAUUUGCGUAUAGGGGCGAAAGACUAAUCGAACUGUCUGGUAGCUGGUCCCUGC